RNAcentral lists this ribosomal RNA (620 nucleotides) under uncultured fungus. Its description in RNAcentral is "eukaryotic LSU rRNA". It matches the Rfam family "Eukaryotic large subunit ribosomal RNA", at positions 23 to 664 of the family's 3401-position model. Lineage: Eukaryota; Fungi. The record is from RNAcentral.
ACCCGCUGAACUUAAGCAUAUCAAUAAGCGGAGGAAAAGAAACCAACAGGGAUUGCCUCAGUAACGGCGAGUGAAGCGGCAACAGCUCAAAUUUGAAAUCUGGCGUCUUCGGCGUCCGAGUUGUAAUUUGUAGAGGGAGUCUCGGGUGGAGUGCCGGUCCAAGUCCCUUGGAACAGGAUACCAGAGAGGGUGAGAGUCCCGUAUCUGGCCGGUUGCGACCCCGUGUGAGGCCCCUUCGACGAGUCGAGUUGUUUGGGAAUGCAGCUCUAAUUGGGUGGUAAAUUCCAUCUAAAGCUAAAUACUGGCCAGAGACCGAUAGCGCACAAGUAGAGUGAUCGAAAGAUGAAAAGCACUUUGAAAAGAGAGUUAAAAAGUACGUGAAAUUGUUGAAAGGGAAGCGUAUGUGGCCAGACUUGGUCGCGGUUGCUCAGCUCGUCUUCUGGCGAGUGUAUUCUUCCGCGGUCAGGCCAGCAUCGGUUUGGGCGGUCGGAUAAAGGCGCUGGGAAUGUGGCUCUUCGGAGUGUUAUAGCCCGGUGUGCAAUGCGGCCUGCCCGGACCGAGGACCGCGCUCUGCUAGGAUGCUGGCGUAAUGGCCUUAUACGGCCCGUCUUGAAACACGG